AACGAACGCUGGCGGCAUGCCUAACACAUGCAAGUCGAACGAGACCUUCGGGUCUAGUGGCGCACGGGUGCGUAACGCGUGGGAACCUGCCCUUAGGUUCGGAAUAACUCCCCGAAAGGGGUGCUAAUACCGGAUAAUGUCUUCGGACCAAAGAUUUAUCGCCUUUGGAUGGGCCCGCGUGGGAUUAGCUAGUUGGUAGGGUAAAAGCCUACCAAGGCGACGAUCCAUAGCUGGUCUGAGAGGAUGAUCAGCCACACUGGGACUGAGACACGGCCCAGACUCCUACGGGAGGCAGCAGUGGGGAAUAUUGGAAAAUGGGCGAAAGCCUGAUCCAGCAAUGCCGCGUGAGUGAUGAAGGCCUUAGGGUUGUAAAGCUCUUUUACCCGGGAUGAUAAUGACAGUACCGGGAGAAUAAGCUCCGGCUAACUCCGUG
Molecule: ribosomal RNA, 433 nt
Filed under: uncultured bacterium
Lineage: Bacteria
Description: partial 16S ribosomal RNA
Rfam family: Bacterial small subunit ribosomal RNA
Source: RNAcentral